UCCUCUCAUACUGGAGGGGGUGGGGAUGACGUCAAAUCAUCAUGCCCCUUAUGACCUGGGCUACACACGUGCUACAAUGGAUGGUACAAAGGGCUGCGAGACCGCGAGGUUAAGCGAAUCCCAUAAAACCAUUCUCAGUUCGGAUUGCAGGCUGCAACUCGCCUGCAUGAAGCCGGAAUCGCUAGUAAUCGCGGAUCAGCAUGCCGCGGUGAAUACGUUCCCGGGCCUUGUACACACCGCCCGUCACACCACGAGAGUUUGUAACACCCGAAGUCGGUGGGGUAACCUUUUGGAGCCAGC
This 300-nucleotide ribosomal RNA is filed under the name Cytobacillus firmus. Its description in RNAcentral is "bacterial SSU rRNA". It matches the Rfam family "Bacterial small subunit ribosomal RNA", at positions 1147 to 1453 of the family's 1533-position model. The record is from RNAcentral. Lineage: Bacteria; Bacillati; Bacillota; Bacilli; Caryophanales; Bacillaceae.